RNAcentral lists this long non-coding RNA (481 nucleotides) under Homo sapiens (human). RNAcentral describes it as "HSALNT0404812". Lineage: Eukaryota; Metazoa; Chordata; Mammalia; Primates; Hominidae. The record is from RNAcentral.
GCUCAGCUCUAACCUUGCCUUGACUGAUCAGGACUCCUCAGUUCACCUUCUCACAAUGAGGCUCCCUGCUCAGCUCCUGGGGCUGCUAAUGCUCUGGGUCUCUGGAUCCAGUGGGGACAUUGUGAUGACCCAGACUCCACUCUCCCUGCCUGUCACUCCUGGAGAGCCAGCCUCCAUCUCCUGCAGAUCUAUGUCUUACAGGUAGAAGCAUUCUACACAAGCUGUGUGCAGGGGAGUACAGCUAACACUUAGAAAAAAUGUUUGAUGUUGGAUUAUUCAAAUAGACUUUGUAAACUCAUGGCAGGUAUGAGAUCUUAAUGUUAAAAGAUUGAUUACUCUUAAUUAUUAUUUGCCAAGUGAAAGCAGAGUUUUCACAAUUCCAAAAGUGGCCUUUGAAAAUAAACUGCAGGAACUCAAAGAUGGAAAAUAUAAAGUUUAUUUCAAGUAAAAAAGGGAACAUUCAGAAUUAUGUGAGAUUUUU